GAUGAACGCUGGCGGCGUGCCUAAUACAUGCAAGUCGAGCGAACAGAUGAGGAGCUUGCACCUCUGACGUUAGCGGCGGACGGGUGAGUAACACGUGGAUAACCUGCCUAUAAGACUGGGAUAACUUCGGGAAACCGGAGCUAAUACCGGAUAAUAUAUUGAACCGCAUGGUUCAAUAGUGAAAGACGGUUUUGCUGUCACUUAUAGAUGGAUCCGCGCCGCAUUAGCUAGUUGGUAAGGUAACGGCUUACCAAGGCAACGAUGCGUAGCCGACCUGAGAGGGUGAUCGGCCACACUGGAACUGAGACACGGUCCAGACUCCUACGGGAGGCAGCAGUAGGGAAUCUUCCGCAAUGGGCGAAAGCCUGACGGAGCAACGCCGCGUGAGUGAUGAAGGUCUUCGGAUCGUAAAACUCUGUUAUUAGGGAAGAACAAAUGUGUAAGUAACUAUGCACGUCUUGACGGUACCUAAUCAGAAAGCCACGGCUAACUACGUG
RNAcentral lists this ribosomal RNA (497 nucleotides) under uncultured bacterium. Its description in RNAcentral is "partial 16S ribosomal RNA". It matches the Rfam family "Bacterial small subunit ribosomal RNA", at positions 28 to 507 of the family's 1533-position model. The record is from RNAcentral.